This 784-nucleotide ribosomal RNA is filed under the name uncultured bacterium. Its description in RNAcentral is "bacterial SSU rRNA". It matches the Rfam family "Bacterial small subunit ribosomal RNA", at positions 60 to 839 of the family's 1533-position model. The record is from RNAcentral.
AGUCGAGGGGCAGCACGGGUAGCAAUAUCUGGUGGCGACCGGCGCNNNNNUGCGUAACGCGUGAGCAACAUGCCCGUAUCAGGGGAAUAAUCCAGGGAAACUUGGUCUAAUACCCCAUAGUAAAUAUUAAAGGCAUCUUUAAUAUUUUAAAGCUUUGGUGGAUACGGAUUGGCUCGCGUGACAUUAGCUAGAUGGUAAGGUAACGGCUUACCAUGGCUACGAUGUCUAGGGGUUCUGAGAGGAAGAUCCCCCACACUGGAACUGAGACACGGUCCAGACUCCUACGGGAGGCAGCAGUGAGGAAUAUUGGACAAUGGAUGGAAAUCUGAUCCAGCCAUGCCGCGUGCAGGAAGACGGCCCUAUGGGUUGUAAACUGCUUUUAUAUGGGAGCAAUAAGACCUACGUGUAGGUUGAUGAGAGUACCAUAUGAAUAAGCACCGGCUAACUCCGUGCCAGCAGCCGCGGUAAUACGGAGGGUGCAAGCGUUAUCCGGAUUUAUUGGGUUUAAAGGGUGCGUGGGCGGUUUGAUAAGUCAGCGGUGAAAUAUUUCAGCUUAACUGGAAGGGUGCCGUUGAUACUGUCAGGCUUGAAUUUAGUUGCUGUGGGUGGAAUGUGUGGUGUAGCGGUGAAAUGCAUAGAUAUCACACAGAAUAUCGAUUGCGAAGGCAGCUCACAAAGCUAAUAUUGACGCUGAUGCACGAAAGUGUGGGGAUCAAACAGGAUUAGAUACCCUGGUAGUCCACACUGUAAACGAUGAUAACUCGCUGUCGGCGNUACAUAGUCG